AUUGAACGCUGGCGGCAGGCCUAACACAUGCAAGUCGAGCGAGCGGCGGACGGGUGAGUAAUGUCUGGGAAACUGCCUGAUGGAGGGGGAUAACUACUGGAAACGGUAGCUAAUACCGCAUACCAUCAGAUGUGCCCCGAUGGGAUUAGCUAGUAGGUGGGGUAACGUCUCACCUAGGCGACGAUACCUAGCUGGUCUGAGAGGAUGACCAGCAAGAAUGGAAGUCAGACACGGGCCAUCCUCAUACGGUAGGCAGAAGUGGUGAGUAUUGCACCAUGGGCGCAAGCAUGCUGCAGCCUUUCGGCGGGUGUGAAGAAGGCAUUCGAGUUGUAAAGCACUUUCAGCUGGGAGGCGUUACUCGCAGAAGAAGCACCGGCUAACUCCGUGCCCGCAGCCGCGGUAAUAG
RNAcentral lists this ribosomal RNA (406 nucleotides) under uncultured bacterium. Its description in RNAcentral is "partial 16S ribosomal RNA". It matches the Rfam family "Bacterial small subunit ribosomal RNA", at positions 30 to 526 of the family's 1533-position model. The record is from RNAcentral.